RNAcentral lists this ribosomal RNA (630 nucleotides) under Streptomyces sp. SCAU5210. RNAcentral describes it as "bacterial SSU rRNA". It matches the Rfam family "Bacterial small subunit ribosomal RNA", at positions 113 to 757 of the family's 1533-position model. Lineage: Bacteria; Bacillati; Actinomycetota; Actinomycetes; Kitasatosporales; Streptomycetaceae. The record is from RNAcentral.
ACACGUGGGCAAUCUGCCCUUCACUCUGGGACAAGCCCUGGAAACGGGGUCUAAUACCGGAUAAUACUUUCUCUCUCCUGGGGGAAGGUUGAAAGCUCCGGCGGUGAAGGAUGAGCCCGCGGCCUAUCAGCUAGUUGGUGGGGUAAUGGCCUACCAAGGCGACGACGGGUAGCCGGCCUGAGAGGGCGACCGGCCACACUGGGACUGAGACACGGCCCAGACUCCUACGGGAGGCAGCAGUGGGGAAUAUUGCACAAUGGGCGAAAGCCUGAUGCAGCGACGCCGCGUGAGGGAUGACGGCCUUCGGGUUGUAAACCUCUUUCAGCAGGGAAGAAGCGAAAGUGACGGUACCUGCAGAAGAAGCGCCGGCUAACUACGUGCCAGCAGCCGCGGUAAUACGUAGGGCGCAAGCGUUGUCCGGAAUUAUUGGGCGUAAAGAGCUCGUAGGCGGCUUGUUGCGUCGGUUGUGAAAGCCCGGGGCUUAACCCCGGGUCUGCAGUCGAUACGGGCAGGCUAGAGUGUGGUAGGGGAGAUCGGAAUUCCUGGUGUAGCGGUGAAAUGCGCAGAUAUCAGGAGGAACACCGGUGGCGAAGGCGGAUCUCUGGGCCAUUACUGACGCUGAGGAGCGAA